CCUACGGGUGGCAGCAGUGAGGAAUAUUGGUCAAUGGACGAGAGUCUGAACCAGCCACGUCGCGUGAAGGAUGACUGCCCUAUGGGUUGUAAACUUCUUUUAUGUGGGAGUAAAAUGUUCCACGUGUGGGAUUUUGUAUGUACCAUAUGAAUAAGGAUCGGCUAAGUCAUUGCCAGCAGCCGCGGUAAUUCGGAGUUUCCGAGCGUUAUCCGGAUUUAUUGGGUUUAAAGGGCGCGUAGGUGGAUUGUUAAGUCAGUGGUGAAAGUUUGCGGCUCAACCGUAAAAUUGCAGUUGAGACUGGGAGUCUUGAGUGCAGUAGAGGUGGGCGGAAUUCGUGGUGUAGCGGUGAAAUGCGUAGAUAUCAGGAAGAACACCGAUUGCGAAGGCAGCUCACUGGACUGCAACUGACACUGAGGCGCGAAAGUGUGGGGAGCAAACAGGAUUAGAUACCCCAGUAGUC
RNAcentral lists this ribosomal RNA (460 nucleotides) under uncultured bacterium. RNAcentral describes it as "partial 16S ribosomal RNA". It matches the Rfam family "Bacterial small subunit ribosomal RNA", at positions 338 to 795 of the family's 1533-position model. The record is from RNAcentral.